This 301-nucleotide long non-coding RNA is filed under the name Lonchura striata (white-rumped munia). RNAcentral's name for it is "domestica (Bengalese finch) lncRNA (ENSLSDG00000003926.1)". Lineage: Eukaryota; Metazoa; Chordata; Aves; Passeriformes; Estrildidae. The record is from RNAcentral.
CCGGGCACCUACAAGUACCUGGAGGUGCAGUACGACUGCGUGCCCUACAGUGAGUGCCCCACGGAUCCUGCCCCACGGAUCCUGCCCCAUAGAUCCUGACCUAUGGAUCCUGCCCCAUAGAUCCUGACCCAUAGAUCCUGCCCCAUAGAUCCUGACCUAUGGAUCCUGACCCACAGAGCCUGACCCAUAGAUCCUGACCCAUGGAUCCUGCCCCAUAGAUCCCAUCCUGCCCCAUAGAUCCUGCCUGGGCACCUACAAGUACCUGGAGGUGCAGUACGACUGUGUGCCCUACAGUGAGUGC